UGUGUUAUUUUAUAAAAAUAUUUAAAUUUUUAGUAAGAUUUUGUUAGAUUCUUUCUCAACAGAUUUCGUUUUAAUUACAAAAAUUAAAAUUAAAAUUAAUAGUUAGUUUAUUCUUAAUGUAAAUAAUAAAAUAUGUCAUAUUAACUAAUUCUUGAAGUGGUUAUACUAUGACUUGUUAAUAGCAGAUAAAAAUAUGACUUUAAAUUAUUAGAUUAGAUACCACAAACUGUAAAGAAAAAGAGGAAUUUGCAUAAAUGUAUAACUGAAGCAAUUUUUCCAAAUAAACAUAAAUAGAGGGUUUAAAUCAAAAUAGAGGAUGUUAAAGCAGGUGGGUGAGAUAAGGGUUACCUCCAUGCAUUAGGUAAAAACAUUAUACAAAUAAGUAAGAUUUUUUUUCCGACAAUAAGUACAAAUAUUUUAAAUAUAAAUAUAUAGUGAAUUUUUUUUUUACUUAUUUAUUUGGAAUUCCUUCCGCCUCAGGGGUUUUUCCAUCGUCCUCGGUCUUCACAUGUAUGGAUUAUCUAUUUUGGAGGUUACCGAAAGAGGAUGAAUUUAGCUAUUUUCCAUGGAUAUUAUAGUAUAUAUGUAAUUCUAGGAAUGAUAAGGUCUAUUCUAAUAAGGAUGGAAACCCGCAGGAGAUCCUGCGUCUAGCUGAAGUGGAAAGCACGACAUGGAUGGAGGCACAAUUAACAGUGAAAAAACAGUAUGAGCAUCUUCAUCAUGGGAGUUUAUAACAUGGGACUGAUUGGAUUCCCUUGUACAAUACGAGGAUUUGUUAUAUUGAUGGAGCCUGAAAAAAAAAAGAUAAAUUCACGGGACAAGGAUGGUUCCGUCGAAGUACUGGCUCGGCAGAUGUUAUGAUGGGUGCGAUGAAUCUCCAUAGAAGUCUAUCUCCUCUGCAUGCUGAAUGAUAAGCAUUGAUAUGGGUGAUGGAGUACAUGAAGACCCUUCAGUUCUCUGAAGUAGUGUUUGCGACGGAUUAUUCUCAAUUGGUGAAGAUGGUGUCGAUAUCUGAGGGCUGGCCAGCUUUCUCUACACACAUGGAAGAAUUUAGACACAGUAAGUGUUUCUUCCCUGAUUUCCGGAUCAGACAUAUUCCAAGAGCACAAAACACUUUGGCGGACAGACGUGCACGUGGUGUGAAAAGUUCUCCUACAGCUAUGCUAUAUGUCGAUUCCACACCUCCGGCUUGGCUCUCCAAAUCAAAUGGUUUAGUUACUUAAUUUCACUGUUGUUGUCAAGAAAAAAAAACGUAUUUAUUUGGAAUUAAUAUAACUAAAUUUGUUACUAAGUUAUGUAAAUACAUAUGUAAUUUUUUGAAACUUGGAUUAAUACAUAUCACAUGUACUUUUGUUUUUCAAUUAAAGAUGGUUUGUGUUAUGUUAAAAAAAUAAAAAUGGUUUGGUUACCUAACCUCCUCAAAAAAAAAUUAAUAUAAAACUCUUCUAAAAUAAUUGUUGGUUAAUAUUUUAGUUUCACUAUUUCUUAAAUUAGAAACAUUGAAAGAUAACUAAUACCCACUCUGUUUCAUAAAAAAUGUCCUAUGACACUAUCUUAUUACAGAAAAUAGAGUAUUACUUAAAAAAUUUAAUACAAUUUAUAUCUAUUUUAUAUUUAAUAUUAAUUAUUCAAUACUUUGAUCUUAUAAAUAAUUUUAUUUAUUUUUAAAAUAUUUGGUUAAAUAAAGGUACUUAUUAAAACAUUAAUAUGUUUUAGUUAGUUUUAAUGAGAGUAUAAGUGAUAUAAAUGAUAUAAAAUGAUACUCUUCAUGAAAAAAACGAAUAUUUAAUACUUAAAUAAAUAUGGAAGCUAAAGUAUAAUCGUCGUCUCCCACAUUCCAUAUUUUGUUUUCAUUGCCUUUUCUUAAUACUUGCACACAGAUGCACUACAUAAAAGGAUAGAGAUUUCGACCGAAAAAGGGACAAAGACACAAAAACAAGGAGACAACGUAACUACUAAUAAAUUAGAUAAUUACAUAGGUCUCAAGUGUUUUUAGUAAAGGGUCUCAAGUGUUUGUAUUAAACUAAGAAUUAAGAAUAUAGUAUUAACGUUGACAUUAUUAGAUUUUCUAGCAUUUUUUUUCUAGUUUUCUCCUUUUGCUAAGCCGGUUGACAGUGAUAUAUUAUGUCACUUAUAUAAAAAUAAAAUAAAAAAAUAUUGUUAGAGUGAUGUUAGUUAUAGCAUCCACGAUGAUAAUGAUUAUGGUGGUAAUAUAUAAAUAGAAUAGAACAUACUAAAUGGUAUAGUUCAUAUUAAUGAAAAUAUAAAAUGAUUUAAAUAUAUUAAUAUACUAUAUACGUCCAAAAUUAACAAAACUAAAUCUAAUGUCAACCCAAAUUUUCCAUAAACUAAACUUAAAACAAUAAUCCCUAAAAAAAAUAUAAACCUGAAUCCAAAUAUCAAAAUAUGCAAAUAGUACAUAAUAUGAAGCAUAAUUAAAAUAGAGUAGUAAUAAACAAAUAUCAUAAUACAUAUUGUUCAAAUUAUAAACAUGUCUAUGAUUGCAGAGAAUAAAGUAAUGCUUACUCCAACGUCGACCGAAACCUUUCAUAAACUAAACUUAAAACACUAAUCACUAAAUCCUAAAAGGAAAUAUAAAUUCUUACCUAAAUAUCAAAAUAUGUACAUAGUACAUAAUUUCAAAAAUUAUCAAAACAGAAUAGUAACAGAAAAAAUAGAAUUGUAAAUAUUGUUCAAAUUUUGAUUUGUUUAUGAUUGCAAAGAAGAAGUUAAUGUUUACUCCAACGUCAACCAAACCUUUCAUAAACUAAACCCAAAACACUAAUUACUAAACUUUAGAAAAAAAUAUAAACCCUUACCUAAAUAUCAAAAUAUGCACAUAGUAUAUAAUAUGAAGUACUAUGAAAAUAGAAAUAGUAACAACGAAAUAUCAUAGUAUAACCAAUAAGUUGCAAUACAUACGAGUGGUGGUUACGACGGAAAAGAUGAUGACUAAUAUCAAAGAGAUGAUGAUUGUUUUGAAAGAUGUGAUAGCAAAAAUAUAAAAGAGAAAUUACAGAUUUGAUUAUUAACUAAAAAAAAGAUGAUAAUAGCUACGGUGAUAAAAAAUAUCGAAAUGAUUGAAAUUGUUUUUUUACAGAAAGUGAUGGUGGAUUGAAAAAAGUAGUGAUAAUGGUAGGUAACUGAAGAAGAAGAAGUUUAUACACUUAUUAACCGGCAAAGAAAAGUUAUAUAGUAUAUAUUGUAAUAAUAGUGGAAAAUAUUUUUUCUAGUUAGAUAGCUAGUUAUACUUUAUUUCAUGGCAAGUGAGGCCAAUUUCCUUUGUUCUUAGAAGAUAUGACAUGAUUAAAUUGGGUGAAGGUGAUGUCCAAACAAAAACCUAAAUUUCAGUGUCCUUCUUGGAGUGCUAAAUAAAAACAAUAUACUAAUAUAAGUGUACAAUGUGUUCAGAACCAUCACACACACACAUUUAUCUUUCGCCUUUCUAGAAUACACCGAUCCAUAUUUCCAACAUCGAUUGUUUUAGCUAGGCACUGCAAAAAGUUAAAAUGUAUCAGAAAAUUUAUCGACACAAAUUAGAAUUACUUAAAAAUAAAUGAUGCAAUUUAUACAGUCUUACAUCAGUGUUAAUAAGUGAUGUCAUUGGAAAUUCUUAUUGUGUCUGUUCAUACAAGUGACGCUAAUAAAUACACAUUUGUAUCACUUUCCAAACCUAAUGCUAAUAUAAAGUCGGUUCAUUAUAAGAAUUUUUUACUUCCCAAGACACUUUUUGAGUUUCGUAUUUCACCGUAAGGCACUUUGCACUUUGCACUUGAAGCAACCUUAUUUGCUAGUCAAAAACAUUGAUGCCCUUAUAAUAAAGAAAACCAAACCAGACUUCUAUUAGCCUAAACCUAACCAUACCAACCUCACCCUAUACCAAGUUCAAAAUCCUAAAUUCUCAUCUUUCCUCAUUUUGAAUCACAAGCUUUUUUUUGAGAGAGAAAAAAACUUUGUGUGGCGGAAAUUAAGAACUCUAGUUCCUCUAUCAUCGUCCUCACCUUCUAAAUCUUAUUUCUUGAUUUUCGUCACAAACCUCCAUCUCACACGCACCUACUCAACACCAUCUGAAUCUCACCAUCGAGUAGAGCACACAGUCAUUUUUUUUCCACAUGCGAGGAAACAACAAACCGACCACCGCCUCCCACAAAUCCCAUUGAAAGAUGAUUGAGUUCUGGGCUGGUGACAUGUGGAUAGGAGAGUUGUGGGCUGGUGACCUGUGGAUGGGUGAGUUGUAGUUGGGUGACAUGUGGUCGGGUGAGCUGCGGAUUGGUGAACUAUUGUAACGUGAGAUGUGUACGGACGAGCUGUGGUCGGGUGAGUUGUGGACGGGUAAGCCAUGGAGGAGCGAGCUGGGGACGUAAUGUUGUGUGGCUGACCACAUGGGAGUGUUGUGUGGAUGGAGAGUCAACUUCCACCCAUGUAGCUUUCGUACUCCCUGCUUACUACGCUCCACCCAUGCAACAAUCAGAAGUUUCAAAACUAUUUUGUGUUCUAUGUUCCCUAUGUUUUCUCUUUUUAACUCGGCGUUUCUAUAGCUCGUAAGAUGUCCAUGUAAUCUUUUCUAGACUGUAGCCUCUUCAUUGUUUUUGAGAUCAAACAAUCCGUAUGUAAUGUUAAUGCUAAGGUUUAUGUUUAAAAAAAAUAGUUGUGUA
Brassica rapa (field mustard) is the source of this 4655-nucleotide long non-coding RNA. RefSeq lists it as uncharacterized. Lineage: Eukaryota; Viridiplantae; Streptophyta; Magnoliopsida; Brassicales; Brassicaceae. The record is from RefSeq and is a predicted model, not a curated record.